RNAcentral lists this long non-coding RNA (1172 nucleotides) under Brassica rapa (field mustard). RNAcentral describes it as "long non-coding RNA (BRAP_LNC008206)". Lineage: Eukaryota; Viridiplantae; Streptophyta; Magnoliopsida; Brassicales; Brassicaceae. The record is from RNAcentral.
GACACCUCGUGCUUGGCCGUUCCACCUCGUGCUCCACAUGGCUGGCUGCAUGCCUCAGUCUCAUGCAGGAUGACACACCGCACGUCCAGAUGGCCUGCUGCAUGACUGAAGUGCAUGCAGGUCGACACCCAAUUUCACACAUGGCUGGCCGCAUGCUUCGGUCGCAUGCAUCGCAACACCUCGUGCUUGGUCGUUCGACCUCGUGCUCCACAUGUCUACUUGCAUGUACAGGUUGCAUGUACUGCAACACCUCCUACUUCCCUUGACACACACACUUUCAAGAGACUGCCACCACGUCCUGAACACAUACACAUCAAGCCACCUCGAGCUUCUCGGUCGAUUUUGGCCUUUCCGGUGAAUUUUCGUCCCGCGAUCAAUCCCAAAUAUUUUUCUACGCCCGUUCCGAUGGCCUGAGUAUUUUUAAUAAACCCUACUGGGAUUCUGAUCUUGAGGAAAAAUAUUUACCGAGCUGUCGGCUUCUUCGAAAAAGUUUGUAAUACCGAAAUUUAGGGUUUUUCGCCCAAUUUCCGAUCUUCCUAUUGUGCUUCCAAAAGUGUCAUUCUUCAAACCUCCUUUGAAUCAAUCUACCACAUUGUCUAACCAUUGUCUAGUGGCAUACUUGACUCAUGGUUUAGACAAGAACAAUCUGAUCGUCCGCGACUCGACCACCCAAAAGAUACUCGACCAUUAUCUUUUUUUUUUUUUUUUUUUUUGACAAUUCUAGGUUCCAGACCAAGCAUUUCUGCUUGAGGGCCCUAGCAGAUAUGAACUCGUUUAGUUAAGCCAACCCUGGUCCAUCUCUGGACUCGAUUGCAUAGCACCUUGGUCCAUCUACUAGGUCACUCGCCAUACUGGUCGAGCCUUAUCCGAUCCCAUAUGGAUCCUUAAGGGGUAAUGCUUAUCUCUGUUGAGUCCUGGUAGACUUCUGCAAAUCCCUAAGAGACCAAGCUUUAGUGGACUGCCUUGUUCCCCAGGCCACUCAACCGUAAACAUAAACUACCAAAGACUGAUUCACAACAUCUUGUUGUAAUCAUAUACCACUGUCUUAUGAAAAAUACUUUGGUCAUGACCAUACCAUGAAGGACGUCCCAUAACAUCCCUCAAUGCAUUGCCAAUAACUUCAAUACUUCCACUUCCAGUGGGUACCUAGAUGAGUAGGAUUUCGGUUUGAU